AAAUAAGUUUUCAUAGCCAUGGGAUCUCCAACUGCAUGCCAGAGUAACGGAGAGACUUUGACAGCCCAGGUUAUCACAGUGCCUGCUGUUGCCACUCAGCUCUCCUAUAUGU
This is a small nucleolar RNA of Rattus norvegicus (Norway rat), 112 nucleotides long. Ensembl annotates it as small nucleolar RNA SNORA44. The record is from Ensembl. Lineage: Eukaryota; Metazoa; Chordata; Mammalia; Rodentia; Muridae.